RNAcentral lists this ribosomal RNA (492 nucleotides) under uncultured bacterium. RNAcentral describes it as "partial 16S ribosomal RNA". It matches the Rfam family "Bacterial small subunit ribosomal RNA", at positions 29 to 507 of the family's 1533-position model. The record is from RNAcentral.
AGUGAACGCUGGCGGUAGGCCUAACACAUGCAAGUCGAACGGCAGCACAGUAAGAGCUUGCUCUUACGGGUGGCGAGUGGCGGACGGGUGAGGAAUACAUCGGAAUCUACUUUUUCGUGGGGGAUAACGUAGGGAAACUUACGCUAAUACCGCAUACGACCUACGGGUGAAAGCAGGGGAUCUUCGGACCUUGCGCGAUUGAAUGAGCCGAUGUCGGAUUAGCUAGUUGGCGGGGUAAAGGCCCACCAAGGCGACGAUCCGUAGCUGGUCUGAGAGGAUGAUCAGCCACACUGGAACUGAGACACGGUCCCGACUCCUACGGGAGGCAGCAGUGGGGAAUAUUGGACAAAGGGCGGAAGCCUGAUCCAGCCAUACCGCGUGGGUGAAAAAGGCCUUCGGGUUUUAAAGCCCUUUUUUUGGGAAAGAAAAGCAGCAGGUUAAUACCCCGCUGUUCUGACGGUACCCAAAGAAUAAGCACCGGCUAACUUCGUG